Non-coding RNA from Marasmius fiardii PR-910, 94 nucleotides. Lineage: Eukaryota; Fungi; Basidiomycota; Agaricomycetes; Agaricales; Marasmiaceae. The record is from the annotation of a GenBank genome assembly.
GCUCAAGUGGUCUAACGGUUAUGAUGCGACCUUCCCAUCAGCUGUGUAUAAAAAUCUGCAGGUCGCGAACGGGGUUCGACUCCCCGCUUGAGCA